GGUAGGACUUCGCAUGGAGAAGUCUGACGGAGCAACGCCGCGUGAGUGAUGAAGGUUUUCGGAUCNUAAAGCUCUGUUGUUAGGGAAGAACAAGUGCCGUUCAAAUAGGGCGGCACCUUGACGGUACCUAACCAGAAAGCCACGGCUAACUACGUGCCAGCAGCCGCGGUAAUACGUAGGUGGCAAGCGUUGUCCGGAAUUAUUGGGCGUAAAGGGCUCGCAGGCGGUUUCUUAAGUCUGAUGUGAAAGCCCCCGGCUCAACCGGGGAGGGUCAUUGGAAACUGGGGAACUUGAGUGCAGAAGAGGAGAGUGGAAUUCCACGUGUAGCGGUGAAAUGCGUAGAGAUGUGGAGGAACACCAGUGGCGAAGGCGACUCUCUGGUCUGUAACUGACGCUGAGGAGCGAAAGCGUGGGGAGCGAACAGGAUUAGAUACCCUGGUAGUCCACGCAA
This 451-nucleotide ribosomal RNA is filed under the name Bacillus subtilis. RNAcentral describes it as "bacterial SSU rRNA". It matches the Rfam family "Bacterial small subunit ribosomal RNA", at positions 357 to 802 of the family's 1533-position model. Lineage: Bacteria; Bacillati; Bacillota; Bacilli; Caryophanales; Bacillaceae. The record is from RNAcentral.